This 235-nucleotide unclassified non-coding RNA is filed under the name Hevea brasiliensis (rubber tree). The record is from RNAcentral. Lineage: Eukaryota; Viridiplantae; Streptophyta; Magnoliopsida; Malpighiales; Euphorbiaceae.
GUGUGAUUCACUUCCAUGUCUGAACAAAGACUUUCAAUUCCUUCUGGAUCGAUCAAACCGGAAGAGGCAUUGGCAUAUGAGUAAAAUAGGCUAUCAAUCCGUUCCAACUCUUUUGUGCUUGCUCUACUUGAGGCGGAGCGAAAGAGAUCGACGGCGGAAGAAUUAACGGAAGUUGAAUUGGGUUGACCGGCUUUCCUUGUAGCAGAGCGCCGCAUCUUCUUCUUCUUCUUCUUCU